GCAGGUAGCUGUCCUGUAAUUAAGAGAUUUGGAGAAUUGCCUCAAGAUCCGGAGUCACAAGGACAAUAUAUUUUAGAGAACUCUUCCCCAUGGCAAAAAAGAAUAGUUAAGCAAUGUAACCUGAUAUAUUGACCAUGUCUGAGAAAGUACAUGCCUCAUUCUACAUCUACUGUCUACCAAGUCUCCACUGAGAGCAAGACAAUAUUUUACUGUCAGUCAUCUUAAGAAAAGAUGAGUCAUUGCAUUGAUUAGAGUUUUGAGGUCUUUCAAGAAAGAAGGAAAAGAGGAGGGAAGGAAGGAAACAUGUAUUAAGCACUUACUAUGUACUUGGCACUGUGCUAAGCCUUAGGCAGUAAAAUACAAGCAAAAAGAAAGACAAUCCCUGCCCUGAUGAAGCUUACAUUCGAAGAAAGGAAAACAACACAUAAAAGGAAGCCAAAAUUGGAAGAAGAGAUGAAGAUACCUUGCAUUCUGUGUGAUUAAAUAGCAAGAAUGUCUCAGGCACUUAAGGAAGUCCUAGAAUGAGACAGAAAUAGCAAAAGUAUGGUUUCAAAGUCCAGAAGUGAGGAAUAGAGCUGAGAGAUUUAGUCAUUACAUCUCCCAUCAGAAUGUAAGCUCCAUUUGAGUAGACUUGGUUUUAUCCACUGUACUUGUAUCUACAAAACCUAGCAAAGGAAAGCUUUGGGAAGAAUUUGUACUCUACAUUCCAGCCCUUCAAUCAGAGAGGAAAGGAGGCUGAAGUAGAUGAAUCUUUUCUUCAGAAGUCUUCUAAACCUUCAUCCUAUCCUCAUUUGAAGUCAUUCACUGUGAGUUCCUACUUUUCUCUUUUAAGUUUAUAUUUCUCUGACAUAAUACCCAAUUAUUUCCAAAUUCAAUUCAAUUCAAUUUCUGUUGAAGAGGUAAUGUCUUUUAGUCAAGGUCAGUCCCUUUAUAUGCAAUCUUAAUCCUAUCCCUUCCCAUCUUCUCCAACAGAUUGGUCCCAGGAUCAUCUUAACUCUCUCUUUAAUCUUCAGUGUCUUCCUAUCUUUUGCUUCCAUCACUACUUCUUACAAACAGAUCCAUGUCUCCCCAUGCUUAUAAAAAAAAACCUUCACUCUCUUCUCUCACUCCUCCUAAUUAUUGUC
This 1124-nucleotide long non-coding RNA is filed under the name Monodelphis domestica (gray short-tailed opossum). RNAcentral's name for it is "lncRNA (ENSMODG00000043046.1)". Lineage: Eukaryota; Metazoa; Chordata; Mammalia; Didelphimorphia; Didelphidae. The record is from RNAcentral.